Molecule: long non-coding RNA, 393 nt
Filed under: Elaeis guineensis (African oil palm)
Lineage: Eukaryota; Viridiplantae; Streptophyta; Magnoliopsida; Arecales; Arecaceae
Description: long non-coding RNA (EGUI_LNC030671)
Source: RNAcentral
CCUCCAAAGUCUCUAUCCCAUGAUUGAGACCCCCAGAUAGGUCAAGGUUUCGGUCUGCUCAAAGAUUUCUAGCCUGUCUCGAAUCGCCUACUUCACUUGAAUCUUCAUCUUGGGACUGAAGGUGAUCGUGGACUUCUGCAGAUUCACAAGCUGGCCAGAGGUACGAUAGUAUGCCUCCAUAAUUGAUACGAAACACCUCACAUUCCUGACAGAGGCCCAACUAAUAAGCAAGCAAUCAUCUGCAAAGAGGUGUGAGAGUGACUGAACCCUAGAGCCAAGCCAGUAGGGUUCCAACUCAGCCUUUUGGACCGCUGUUCGAAGAGCAUAAGAAAGAGCAUCAGCAUAUAAAAUAAAUAGAUAGGGCAAAAGAGGAUACUCUUGACACAGACCGCC